UUUUUCCCCCACUGAAAUGCGGUAAGGCUCAAAGCAUUGUAAUCUCUCCAGCGAAGCUUUCUGUGGGAAUAGAUUCGUCGGCAGAGGAAAGAGGUGGGUAUCAUGUUGAAAGACACUGGCACACAGGGGAAUCUGCCCUUCGGUGGAGGUGACAUAGCCACAGAGUCUCUAAAGAGAGGACAUUCCUGUAGGAAAGUGAGGAUUUCAGUAGGGGAGGAAUGUCCUAAAAGCCAAGCUGUGUUACAGAGACAACAUCCCUGGCCACGAGAACCUUUGCUGGGAUCUAUAACUUCAAUGCGCUCCAAGUUUCCUCGAUAGAAGUUUCUGGCUGACGGUCCCAACAUGUAACUGAGGCACAGUGAGAAGUUAUUGUUCGGAGUGUGUACUCGGGAAGCUCUCUUCCAGAGCAGAUUAAAAUCUUUCUUUUGGUGUAUUAAAAGAUAGACUUCACAUCUGCCUCUUUUCAAAACGGCAAAGAUUCUUACUUUUGAGUCUCAAGGAAAAAAAAAGAUUUUUUUUUUAAAAAAAGGACUGGCACAUCGCCCUGUUUUAAAAAAAAAAAUGGGGGAAGUAAUUUAAUGCUGAUAUUUCUACUUUAAAAACUUCUUUUGUGCAGCAGUGGAUGUGCCCGCGAUUUCCAGCUUUCUGCGGUUAGCAAUAUUAUCUUAAGUAACUUUUGGCGCCCUUCGUAAGACUUUUGGAUAUGGGACGAUUGUUUGCGCCCUCUAGGCAAGGGCUGGAUCCAAGUUCAGCACCAAAGCCCUUCACAUCCGCUCCUGCUUUCUCUCCUAUCUCCGCCAGCUCCCGCUCUCUCCCCCGCGGAGGGACGGGGGGAGGCGGGGGAAACACUACAAAGCACAGUUCCAACUACAGCCUUUGGAAACAAGACUGAGAAAAAUACAGUAGAAGAGUUACAGUUACAGAAAGGCUUCUGGUAACUUUCUCUCCAACAGGCAUAAAUUUAAACACACGCACAAAGAAACAGAUGUUCCUCAAAGGGCAGACUGGGGGUAAAAAACAUUUCCAACCCUCUCCCCUCUUCCCAAGUUGCAAAAGUAAAUCCUUGUCCAGAGUUCACAAAGAUACUAAGGCACUUGAGAGAGAGCAGGGAUGGAGGAGGGAAGAAAGGAUAGUAGAGAGAGCAGUGGAGGAAACGCAGGUGAAGUAUGGAAACUAGUUUACUGCAAUCAUAUAAAUGACCCCAUUGUUAGGAAGGAUAAACCCCUUAUUGGAAAUAACCACUCCAAUCAUUUAUUUUGCAAGUGGUAGGAGGCUGCCUUGAAAUGGGAUUGUCUCUGCGCAAAGGAGGCUCCUGUCAUGCUCUCUGCUAUCCAUAUUCUUCCUGGCACAGAGCCCAGCCUUGCAUUUACUGUGUUUUAUUUGCAGAAACGUUACCUUGCCAGCUUUAGUGAAAUCCUCUUAGAUAUAUAAAUUACGUCAAUAAGGUUUCACUUAUAUGUACAUCUCAAAUAGCUCUCAUUUUGGAGGUUACUUAAUAGGGAGAUCUUAUUAAUAUGAUUUAGAUUUUAAUACCCAAAGCAGUGAAGAUAGAACUGGGAUUCAUAAGUGACAACACCAUAACUCUGUAGUUCUUACCAACACUAACUUUAUUAACUGGCAUUUUUCAACAUUUUUUCUUCUCUGGUUUUUGACCUGCUGGUCACUUCUGUGCAGAUUUUUCUUAUGUGCAUAUAAUCCUAAAUUGAAUCAUGUUGCUGAAGUGAGUGUCCAAGUGAAUUCUUACAUCAAAUUUCCAAGCCAGAUUUGACUGGAAGGCCUAAAGCCUUGGGAAAUAGCUCGAUGGGAAUUUAAUCCAAAGAAGGGAAAGAGCCCAUAUUAUUUUCCAUUCACUUCCCAACAGAAUUAGGUGUCUACACUGCUCAGAGAGGAGAUGGAGAUAUUUUAGUCAGAGGCUGCCAGUUACUGUCUCCAAGACAAGCUACUGCAGUUGGUUUCCACUGGAUUUGUAUCAAGCACUUGUCCAAGAGGCCAGACUCCAACUAACAGCAAGUCAGCGAUCUUCCAUACUCACACCCUCCAUGGGGGUUGUUGUAGUAACAAGAAGAAAUGUGAACUUGGCCAGUCUUAAUGUCCUAUUUCCUACUGACCAUAUACUUAAAAAGCAGAAUUCAAGAACAGCCAAGAAAAAACACUCCCCUCAUUUCAAGUAUGUAAGACAGCUGCUAGUUCACAUGUGAAACAUUUUCUCCUUUAAAACAGUUGUUUAGAGUUCAAGAAGAGAGGUUUACUUAUUAAUUUCAAAGUACUUGAAAUGCCAAAGCUGCUAAGAUAAUCAGAGUAAGAAGUUUUGUAAUGCUGAAUACGCAAUAUGUUAACUUCCCAAAGCUCACUACAGUCCCACAAUUCAGGCAAGAUUUAAGCUACACGUUUCUUAAAGUUGAACUUCACAUUCCACAAGUUACCAACUUCCCUGAGUUUAAAAAUAAUAGCUAAUGCAAAGUUAAUAUCUAAUGCAAAGUUAUUUCUCUAGCAGAAUGUUUCUUUUUCCAAAAGACAAGGAAGAAGGCACACGAUUCAUGCAAACUCCCCCGAUCAGUUUUUUUUUUUUUCUCUUAAACGCGAAAACUCUUUCCUAUUGUACUUGCUAAAUCCGGAAGCGCUUGUAGCUUUGACAGCUUGAACCACACCAUCCCCUUCAGAGCUGCAGAGAACUUCAGAUCUCCUCUGCCCCGCCCCCUCUGGCUAUUGAGAACUAUUGUACACCCAAGCUUUCUUAUGAUUGGAUAAAGCUUUUGUCAAUCUCCCA
Molecule: long non-coding RNA, 2767 nt
Organism: Cercocebus atys (sooty mangabey)
Lineage: Eukaryota; Metazoa; Chordata; Mammalia; Primates; Cercopithecidae
Exons: 3
Source: RefSeq, a predicted model, not a curated record